Molecule: ribosomal RNA, 497 nt
Filed under: uncultured bacterium
Lineage: Bacteria
Description: partial 16S ribosomal RNA
Rfam family: Bacterial small subunit ribosomal RNA
Source: RNAcentral
GACGAACGCUGGCGGCGUGCCUAAUACAUGCAAGUUGAGCGCUGAAGGUUGGUACUUGUACCAACUGGAUGAGCAGCGAACGGGUGAGUAACGCGUGGGGAAUCUGCCUUUGAGCGGGGGACAACAUUUGGAAACGAAUGCUAAUACCGCAUAAAAACUUUAAACACAAGUUUUAAGUUUGAAAGAUGCAAUUGCAUCACUCAAAGAUGAUCCCGCGUUGUAUUAGCUAGUUGGUGAGGUAAAGGCUCACCAAGGCGAUGAUACAUAGCCGACCUGAGAGGGUGAUCGGCCACAUUGGGACUGAGACACGGCCCGAACUCCUACGGGAGGCAGAAGUAGGGAAUCUUCGGCAAUGGACGAAAGUCUGACCGAGCAACGCCGCGUGAGUGAAGAAGGUUUUCGGAUCGUAAAACUCUGUUGGUAGAGAAGAAAGUUGGUGGGAGUGGAAAGCUCAUCAAGUGACGGUAACUACCCAGAAAGGGACGGCUAACUACGUG